AACAAGGCGUACCUGCGGACCUGCGGAGGGAUCAUUACCGAGUUUACAACUCCCAAACCCCUGUGAACAUACCUAUACGUUGCCUCGGCGGAUCAGCCCGCGCCCCGUAAAACGGGACGGCCCGCCCGAGGACCCUAAACUCUGUUUUUAGUGGAACUUCUGAGUAAAACAAACAAAUAAAUCAAAACUUUCAACAACGGAUCU
This 204-nucleotide unclassified non-coding RNA is filed under the name soil metagenome. Its description in RNAcentral is "partial contains 5.8S ribosomal RNA, internal transcribed spacer 2, and large subunit ribosomal RNA". The record is from RNAcentral.